This 492-nucleotide ribosomal RNA is filed under the name uncultured bacterium. RNAcentral's name for it is "partial 16S ribosomal RNA". It matches the Rfam family "Bacterial small subunit ribosomal RNA", at positions 29 to 507 of the family's 1533-position model. The record is from RNAcentral.
AGUGAACGCUGGCGGUAGGCCUAACACAUGCAAGUCGAACGGCAGCACAGUAAGAGCUUGCUCUUACGGGUGGCGAGUGGCGGACGGGUGAGGAAUACAUCGGCAUCUACUUUUUCUUGGGGGAUAACGGAGGGAAACUUACGCUAAUACCGCAUACGACCUACGGGUGAAAGCAGUGGAUCUUCGGACCUUUCGCGAUUGAAUGAGCCGAUGUCGGAUUAGCUAGUUGGCGGGGUAAAGGCCCACCAAGGCGACGAUCCGUAGCUGGUCUGAGAGGAUGAUCAGCCACACUGGAACUGAGACACGGUCCAGACUCCUACGGGAGGCAGCAGUGGGGAAUAUUGGGCAAUGGGCGCAAGCCUGAUCCAGCCAUACCGCGUGGGUGAAGAAGGCCUUCGGGUUGUAAAGCCCUUUUGUUGGGAAGGAAAAGCAGCAGGUUAAUACCCCGCUGUUCUGACGGUACCCAAAGAAUAAGCACCGGCUAACUUCGUG